AUGCCUUCGCUCUUUUCCUUCACACUUUCAUACGUCUUCAUAUCACAAACCCUAAUGACGUCUCCCUCUCAAGCAUCCAUGGCCGCCUUCAUAUCUACCGCAUCUGUGGCCAUCUUCUUUAUACCUGCGACCACCACAAGCCCUCUGUCUUUUCAUCUCACGAUCCGGUUGUAAAAACCCUAAGAGGGGCCUGUGUUUAUCAAUCUCUCUUUAGAACCUUCCAUCCAUUGCGUUUCCUUCUCAAGCAAAUCUCUUACUUCAGAAAAAACAACUCAGACAUCCUUGUAACCAUCCUGUUGAUGGAUUCUCUACCGGUUUUUCUGACCAAAACAAUCUGUUUGAAUUGAAUGGAGCCUCACGAUUAUUGGGCUGCCUAAUAUAUUAUAGUUCAUAUGUAUUUUCUCUGCCAAUUUUGCGAAAGAUCAUCAGAUUCAAUAAGAUUAUUAGGUUUUUGUGAGAUUACGAUUGAGGAUUGUGUUUGGAUUGGAAUCGGGAUUGAUUCAUGGAGAAAUCGAUAAGAGAUUGAGGAAAACGAUGCCGGAAUUAGCUGUUGAUUGUCGAACAACGUCGUAUGGAGCAGUUUCUCUGAGUGGAUUUUGGUCGAAGCAUUGUGGUGAUGUUAGUUAUAAUCAGCUUCAUAAGGUUUGGAUGCGACUGUUUCGAUGACGGCGGUGUAGGUUUGGAUGCAGUGAAAACGAGUGGAGAUGGUAGUUUGACCUGCCGAUAAGGUUUUCGACCACAACCCUCAACUCCGUUAAGGUUUCCAACCUCAACCAUCGCGCUUCAGGUCAUCCACGUCUAUAUUUAUUCUCUAUUAUUCUUGUCCGUGCUUUUUUUGAUGAACCAGUUUCUGUUUCUAUAAUCCUAUCAUAUGCAUAUGGCUUUCUAUUUAUUUAAAAAAAAUUCUUGCCUUUGUAAGCAUUUUGGCCUAAGUAUUUUGGUUUAAAUUCAGUUUCGAAUGCCAUUUUAGUGCCUGUAUAGAGAAAUUAUGCUGCAUGUUUCGACAUAACAUUUUGCAAAAAAUACAAGUAAUGUAUAGAGAAUCGGUUCAUUGUGAGCAUACCUUAUUCAAGAAUUUAUUGGUCUUUGAGUCUUUCAAACCUCCAACCUAACACUUUAGGCCCUUUUUUAAACAUCUCAAGCACAUACAUAACUAAAAAGGCAAAACUGAAAACCAUUAUGAAUGUGUUCCUUGCAAAUAUAGAGAUAUUAUGCUGCAUGUUUCGACAUAACAUUUUGCAAAAAAAUACAAGUAAUGUAUAGAGAAUCAGUUCAUUGUGAGCAUACCUUAUUCAAGAAUUUAUUGGUCUUUGAAUCUUUCAAACCUCCAACCUUAACACUUUAGGCCCUUUAAACAUCUCAAGCACAUACAUAACUAAAAAGGCAAAACUGAAAACCAUUAUAAAUUAUGUAUUCCUUGCAAAUAUAAUUCUGAACAUUUUGUUAAACACUUGGUGGGUAAUGGUGUGGUUGAGAGAAUGCAUUGAACCCUCAAAAAGCUCCAAUCUGCCACUUUAUCCUAUGUAUGAUAUAGUUAUAAAGCGUCUACUAAUGUGGAGAAAAUUUAAAUUGUUGUAGCGGAAAAGGUUUUAUAUUCAUUAUGUCCUAAAAUUUACUAAUUACAUAACACAUUAGUAAAAUCUAGAAUCAAACAUAAGCAUGAAGUGCGAUUAUUAAAAAAAAGAAUUGAGGUUGCUUGCUUUAAAUGGCUGAGGUCAGUUUUGAUUAGCGUCCCUUCGGGGACAUCCGAUAAAACUAGGAUUAUGUUUUACGGGUAGAAAUAUUGGUUGCUUUAGUUCAAUUUCUUAUGUUCUACAUGCUUCAUGAAAUCCUUGAAUGUGGAUUUUGUGAUUGACAGUCAUAAGUCAAUAAUUGGAUCUGGGAAGAACUGAAGCAUGCUUCUGCUUUCAAGUGUUGUGUUUUUAAAGAACUUAGAAUUUUUUGAUAGGUUGCAACAUUUAUUUAACAUUAAUUUGUUCACCUGACUUCGUAAGGUUUAAUGAAUUUUGUAUUGGUCUCAGUAAUUUCAUAUGAUUUGUAUGCUACUUUUCAUUAUUUUUUUUGUAUUAUAGCUCUUUUUUUAUUAGUGUAAAAAACGUCAAUCUUAACCGGAACAAAAUUAAAAUCAUGUAAUCCGUUUAAAAAACGACUUAAAAGGGUGUAAAUGGGUUGGCGGGUUAUUAAUGAGUUAAAAGGGUUGGCAUUUUAAGUCAAACACACAGGACUAGGACUUGUGUGAAAAAGUUACACCUCAAUGUGAUAGUGAUUCUUUCUUAACCUUAGCAAACAUGCCUAACCUGCCCAUUUUCCCAUCUUUGUUAUAUAUAAAUAAUAUCUAAGACGAAUAUUGUCAGUGACGUCUCCAGAGAUGGUGGCCAGGGCUCCGAUGGUGAUUCUGGUAAUUACAGAAGGGCCCUCCAACGAUGUAUGAUUUCUGAAUCCACAUGGUGGUAUGAGUUGAGUCACUGGGUAACACGUUGUGUUGGAGUGGAAGAUGACAGAGGUUGGUUCCACGGACCCCAUUUUGUCAGUAAUGUCUCUGGUACUCCGAGUCAGGUUAGACGUCUAACAACACCAUUUGUUCUAUGUAUUUUGUUAAUCCACUAUCAAUUUUAUUAGGUAUGACCUUGAUGCCCUUGACACCCAAAGAUGUCCUUGACACCCAAAGAUGUCUCAUCAAAUCCUUAAUCAGGUAUGAUUUUUUUCGGAAGAAGUUGUGAGGAAUGUUAUUGUGGACAAUUCGCUCAGAUUCGUUUAUUUAGUUGAUUCAUGCAUUUUGAUUCUAAUUGGAUUUUGACCUAAUAAGCUGCUUCUUUAAACCUUAGAAUCUAUCGCUGUUUUGUUCAUCACUCUAUCUCAGGUUUGGUCAAUAUUCAACAGGUAUUUUCAUGGUCGUCGUGUGCGUUCUAAGCACCGAAAAAAGCCUCUAAAACGGUAAUCUAUAUCUUCAAUCUUUGAACAAUCCUUUUUUAAUUUAUAAGUUUUUUAUGUUGAAGGCUAUGGUUCCGAAAAGUUGAUCUUGAGCAAGUUGUUAGGCAUUGUUCAUCUCAGUUCGAUAUCUCUAUAGAGCUGGUGCAAGCUGCAAGAUCAGGUGGGAAAUUUGAUUUGAUUGCAGCAGUUGGUGGCAAGUGAAAAUUUAGGAAAAGCCUUCAAGCUUGUGGUAGACAGAAGUGUAACUCUCUUUCUCUUCUUAUGCAGUUGAACCACAAUUGAAGAGUUGGCGUCAGAUAAAGAGAGAGGGAAUAUCCCUGGGAAUAUCCCUGGGAAUAUCCCUGGGAAUAUCCCUGUUCGGUCAAAAUAUAUCAUAAAACAAAAUGGAAGUGAAUCUGAGUUGCAGCAAACAUCCGCCUCUUCGACAAAACUCAUCUCCAUUUGAACCAAAAGAACCAACGACAAUGUAAUCUUCUUAAUGGAUUUCUUUAUUUUCUGAUUGAACUCCGACAAGUUUCUUAUGCUUCCCUUUUGUAUUUAUUUCUUUUCCUGAUGUUUCUAAACAAGUCAUUGUAAAACUUCUUACUUUCUAAAUCACAAAAUGUUUUAGUUCUAAAUGAAAAGGUGGAUCUUGGUAUGAGAUUUUAUACUAUUGCCUGCGAUGUUUUUGUUUUAAAUAAGUUGGAAUGUGUUUAAUGAUUUCUAAAUUUGUUACAAGUUCGAAUGUCCGAGAUAUUGCAGAUUUGAAAUAGUAGGUUGCUAGAAUCAGAUGCAGAACUUUGGAGCUGAAUACUGCCAUAGAUAUAUUGAUAUAGCAGGAAAGAAGAGUCCAGAGGGAAUGACCAGAAUGUGAAGCGGAUUAGGGAGUAUCGACUGAAUUUUGAAUUGGAGCUUGAUAAUAUUGAGUGGCUUAUUGGAUGGGUGUUUGCACAAGUAUAUUCACCCCUUUUCUAUAUGGUAGGGUUGUAUUUAGGAAAUUUCACUUCUUGCUUUUGGGAUAGACUUUUAUGCAUAUAAAGUUCUGAACAUGUAACAUAUUCCAAUUUAAUAUGGUACAAUUGAUUUGAUAAUCUCAUGGCGUUGAUAUCGCUACAUUCUUUUUUAAAAGAAACAACGUGCUCUGUGAGGGAAGACAAUUAAAUCGUAGGAUACUUAGGAAGAAAUAAAAUUAUGUGUUUUUUCUUUCAUCUUUUAGCUUUAGCAAACCUUUCUUUCCUAUAUGUUAUGUAUUUAGUUUUUUUUAUUGUUACAAAGAGCCAGGAACUAGGAACUCAUACAGGGUUGCGAGUUGCGGGUACAAGACUCUGUAGCUUAAGGUAGUUUUCGCAUCAUUUUAUUCCUAAACAUAUUUUACAUCAGUUAUAAUUUUAGAUUUUGCAUGUUAAUUUGCUUCUAUUCAUUUAUGCAAGUUUUGGAAUGUUUAAACCUUCAUGUUAGGUUUAUUGAUGGUUAUUUUAUCUCUCACCCAUUUUAAACGCUUUGUUUUGAAACUUUUAUGGGUUAACUCAAACCGAUAUCAACCUACCAUUCAUCACAGCUGAUGCAUCUGGUGCUAAGCAUUGAAUAUCACUCUCACAAGGUCGAAAUUCGAGGCUCUGGUAUCGUAAGCAAGAACAUGAGUAUCACAUGUUUUGAUUAGGCUUCUGAUCUGGAAAAGUUUCUACAUGUAUGCCUUAUUUUUAUAUAUUUCUUUAGGUUUGUACUCUCUACUUCAUGGUAUCUUUUUUUAUAUUUGUAGCAAAA
This is a long non-coding RNA of Helianthus annuus (common sunflower), 4674 nucleotides long. RefSeq lists it as uncharacterized. NCBI's taxonomy places the organism in Eukaryota, Viridiplantae, Streptophyta, Magnoliopsida, Asterales, Asteraceae. The record is from RefSeq and is a predicted model, not a curated record. The transcript is spliced from 8 exons.